This is a non-coding RNA of Bemisia tabaci, 2391 nucleotides long. NCBI's taxonomy places the organism in Eukaryota, Metazoa, Arthropoda, Insecta, Hemiptera, Aleyrodidae. The record is from RefSeq and is a predicted model, not a curated record.
UUCCACCUGACAUAGGCACGACAAAACACCGAUAAGACAUAGCCGACCAAUCAGGCUCGCCUUUUAACCUAUGUCGUCUGUGUCUACCCGACAAACCCAAAAUUUCAACAAUCAGGCUACCAUUCACCUCUGUCAUUCGUUUGUCACACAUGAGAAGAAGAUUUAUCUCCUUUUCCUUUUCUUGAAUGAAGAUGGUUUUUUUCUUUACAGGAAAGGCUCUUAGAGAAAAAUGUGUUAGAUCAGAAAUUUAACCUUUGUAUGAAAAUACAUUUUUACUCUUGUCAGAUCCUACAAGAGAGACAUGCUUAUUUACAUUGCCUGCAGUGUAAUCCUUAAUUUCAGGAACUCUCUUUUCCUGCACCAUUGUUAGACGUGGCAAUCAUGUUUCUUUACACAUAAAGAGUCUACCCGAAAAUGAUGUUGAUUGAAUGCCUCAUAGAAUUACAGUAGAUAGCUUGACUUUGCCAAAAUUGUUAUUUACCAUCGUUAGGUUUCCUGUUACUCUCGAAAUCACUGCUUUUACUGAGUUACAUCAGGCUCAACCAGCAGCGAGAUUUUAUUAUAAUAUUGUUGACGUACGUCUAAUACUUAUGUGUAGAUUCAAACUUGCCCUAAGAUUUUUUUUUUUGUUAGAAAAUAUAUGGAACUUCGACAGUUCAUUAAGAAAUCCCUUUUGGUUUUUUAGUUAUGUGCGUGUCAGAGGUUCAAUUUACUCUUGCCGCUUCUUGUCCUAUUUCAGAUAUGGGAACUGAGACACCCAAGAAUGCUGCUCUCGAGGCUUCGGGAGCUUUUGUUCCAGAGUCAGCAGUCCAUUCAUCAGUUUGGGUGACAUCAUUAAUGAGUUGUAUGUUUCACUCGUCAAAAACGUCUGUAUUGUCCCGCAGCUUGAGGCUUUUCCUCCAACUGUUCCUAUGGAUUACUUUCAAGACAGAGUUUUAAACAAAAUAUGGGAAUCAGUGAACUUCACCGUGCUUCCAACACUCAUCCUGCAGCUCUUUGUAAAUUCUUUGAAAUGUGUCCACCGGUCAUAGCCAAUCACAGUCCUCCUGUAUAAAGUCCUCAUAACACUAUUCACUGUGCCAGAGCUGGGGAGCAUCUGGUUUCCUCUCUCAUUUGAUAAUUUACUCACAAUUUUCAGAAACGCAAUCUUGUGGGCCGCUAAUCCUCAUUGACUCAUCGGAGCUACCAACUUGAUUUCUUGUGUCAACAUUGUCAGCCGCGACAUUGCAACUCCUUUUCAGGCUGUUCCUAGGACUUCAAAUUGAAUGUUCGGUUCCAUUAGCAGUAAGUUUAAGUCACAUCGCCAUCAAACACAACCUCUACAGUCUUCUAAUUCUGUGACCUGUGCAUACACAUUUUUCCCUCAGUUUUCCUUCCAGACUUAUCCGCCAAAACGCACUUUUAAACGUUAGGAAUGAGAAAAGUGGACGAAGCUGAAAUGCAUUAGAAUUUUACACAAUUGUAAUGCAGUUUUAAACUAGUCGAGUCCAUAUGUUUUUCAUCCUGUUAUUUAACUGUAGUUGCUUGCAUAUUUUUGCUUGGUGUAGAAUUUGAUUUGAAAGUAAUCUUAGCCCUCCUGUAAUGCUGUAGAUUUCCUUGCCUGCCGAGCAAAUAACCAGGACUGUAAAGCUUACCUUGGCCCUUCAAAGCUGAGUCUAACUUUGAGUCUCUACCACCUCAAUUUAUGAGACACUAAGGAUCUCUAAUGGGAACAGUGUAGAGGAGUGUAGAGUUUUAUAUUGGGGUGGUGUUGGAGGCGUUCAAUUGCUCCAAUCAUCAUUUUUCACUCAACAACAUUUCCUUCAGAACGAUGUUCAUGAUCUAUUCAUGUGUAUUGUCAUGGCUAUCAAUUGCCAUCACAAUGGCAUAAUGUAUUUUGCAUUGCUGUCCUCUUUUAGUAGUUAAGUGAUUAGUCUUAUUUGUAACAAGCUGUGGAGAAACACUAAUGCUUAAUUAAAAUUCCAAACAUCAAGUCACUGAUGGUAAUGUAUUUUCCCUUGAGUGAAGUAUUGGAAUGGCUGAUGUGAUGCGAUCAAGUGUGAACUGAUGUGAUGUGUUCGAGUGAUUUUCAGUGAUGAGAUGAAUUUCUGCCGCACUGAUGCCUACCAAAAUGAUUUAAAUGUCCUUUUUUCAAUUUCGCUGUAGGAUCAUUUCCUAUCAUUCCUCUUGGGCGUUAUUGUUUCUCAAACCGUCUUAUGACCGAUCGCUUCUAAUCUCCCAUUUUAAGGAGAAUAAGAGAUUUUGUCCUCCCUUUCUGUCACAUGUCUUCGUAGGAAGCAUAGUGAGAAAUAAUGUAUCAAAUUAGUAUAGUAUUAGAAAAAUAAGAAGCACAAGAAGAAUACAAAAAUUUACAAUAAUGCUGUCAGCCAAUAAAUUUGGUAUUAAGUGAAA